GAUGAAGAACGUAGCGAAAUGCGAUAAGUAAUGUGAAUUGCAGAAUUCAGUGAAUCAUCGAAUCUUUGAACGCACAUUGCGCCCGCCAGUAUUCUGGCGGGCAUGCCUGUCCGAGCGUCAUUUCAACCCUCGAACCCCUCCGGGGGGUCGGCGUUGGGGAUCGGCCCUUUCACCGGGUGCCGGCCCCUAAAUACAGUGGCGGUCUCGCCGCAGCCUCUCAUGCGCAGUAGUUUGCACACUCGCACCGGGAGCGCGGCGCGUCCACGUCCGUAAAACACCCCAACUUCUGAAAUGUUGACCUCGGAUCAGGUAGGAAUACCCGCUGAACUUAAGCAUAUCAAUAACGGAGGA
RNAcentral lists this unclassified non-coding RNA (351 nucleotides) under soil metagenome. RNAcentral describes it as "partial contains 5.8S ribosomal RNA, internal transcribed spacer 2, and large subunit ribosomal RNA". The stretch from base 1 to 120 matches the Rfam family "5.8S ribosomal RNA", at positions 35 to 154 of the family's 154-position model. The record is from RNAcentral.